GGUUCAAGCAAUUUUCCUGCCUCAGCCUUCUGAGUAGCUGGGAUUACAGGCAUCUGCCACCAUGCCCAGGUAAUUUUUUUAAAUCCGGGUGGGCCUAAGCAGGCCAGGACUUAUCUGGAGGCUCCGAUGUUGGGAACCCAGGGCCCUUCUGCCUUGUUGGGCUCCCUAGCAUGCUUUGGGAGAAUGCUCUGCCACAUCCACAUUCCAGCCAGUGGAAGGAAGGAAGAGAAAAGGGAGGAAACAGCUGCUGCUUAUAAGAGCAUGACUCAGGAAUUGCACUCAUUACUUUUACUCACCUUUUACUGAUCAGAACUUGGUCACGUGCUCGCUUCAGUAGCACAUAUGCUAAAAUUGGAACCAUACAGAGAAACUUAGCUACAGCCCCAGCGCAACGGUGACAUGCAAAUUUGUGAUGUGGUCCAUAUGAAGGAAGGAAGGAAGGAGAAAAAGAAAAAAAGAGAGAGAGAGAAAGAAAGAAAGAAAGAAGAAAAGGAGAAAGAAAGAAAAGGAGAAAGAAAAGGAGAAAGAAAGAAUGAAAGAAAAAAAAUGAACGAAUGAAUGAACUUGGUUAUGUGGCUACACUCAGCCGUAAGGGAGGCUCAGAAAAGUAGCCUUUAUUUUGGCUGCCUUGUGCGUAGCUGUGUACCUGGAGCUCUGUUAUUGUAGAUAGAGUGAGUGGAUAUGAGGACACCUAGUGGUCCCUGGAGCAGAACGCCCAGCUUAGAUUAAUUAGUGUGAUUAUUGAUUAAUAGCUAUCUACCCCACUAGACUGUAUCUCCACAAGAGCAGGAACCGUAUGUGUUUUUGCCCACCAUUGUAUCCUUACCAUCUAUCCUGUGCCUGGUACACAGUAGGAUCUUAAUAAAUAUUUGUUGAAUACACGAGUGAAUGGAUCAGGUCCCUCCCUCUUGCUAUCCCUGUCAUGCUUGACACUCCAGCCAGACCAUACCACUCGUGAUUGCCUAGCAAUGUAUUCAUUAUCAAUUAAAAAGAAAUCACUGCUAAUCCGAUAAACAAACAUAGUCAUCUCAUUGUUGCUUACAUUUCUUUGGUGAGUUUUCAGGUGAUACACAUUUUCACGUCUUUAUUUAUACUUCUCAUUUUGAGAUUUGACAUAAUAGCAUGUCAAUUUUGAUAACAUCACCUGAGGUACAUGAAGAGGUUGAUGCGGCUGAUUUCAGUCAAAAAAUAAGGGCGAAAGGAAAUAAGUGCAAAAAGAAAAAAGCAAACAAACAAAAAAGGCCAAGUUAGGCAGCACACCCAGGGACUUGCUUGCUGAGGAGUGAAAUAGAUACUUGAAUUAGGGCAUUCACGCAAUUCUACAUGAGUGCUGUUUCUCAAACCUCAGCCUUCCAUGAGAGUUGGGAAGCAAAGAGUUAAAUGUUAUAAUCUCUGUUUAGAAUCUAGCAGGAUGGUAUUUUAAGUUGCUAAUUAAUGGAAUAUCCAUGAGUUGUA
This 1455-nucleotide long non-coding RNA is filed under the name Homo sapiens (human). The record is from RNAcentral. Lineage: Eukaryota; Metazoa; Chordata; Mammalia; Primates; Hominidae.